AUGAAAACAUUUUUUUUUUUUAUUGUGCUGGGUACUCUGUACCUUAGGACUCCUUGGUGUUUCUCUGGGGAGAGUUUUGGGUUUCUCUUUUCGGAUUGUUGGUAUUCAAGUGACGCUCUCCAGCAGGUGACGUCUACACCUACGCACUUGGAGGUCCAUUCCAGAAAGCUAAGCCAAGAGUCAAAAAGAGCCAAGGAAAUGGACAUUUGUAGACCUCGAGGGAAACACAGGUGCAGAGUGAGGGGUGCGAUCCUGAGCACUCAAUGGAAGGCGAGAGGGAGAAGCUUCUAGCACAGCACUUCUCAAACUGGGCUGUGCACACCAGUCACCUGAGACGGUAUGAAAAGGCAGGGCCUGAGGUUCUAACACACGUCCCGAUCGCAUGGGUGAUGCUGAUGCCACCAGCCCAUGGACCAUGCCUGCAGGAGCAAGCCCCUGAAAUAUUUACACCCAUUUUCCAUCGGCCAGUGAAGAGAGCUGAAAAAAUAAAACGAAGAAAUGAAAGCA
RNAcentral lists this long non-coding RNA (507 nucleotides) under Felis catus (domestic cat). RNAcentral describes it as "lncRNA (ENSFCAG00000048248.1)". The record is from RNAcentral. Lineage: Eukaryota; Metazoa; Chordata; Mammalia; Carnivora; Felidae.